CCGAGGGAGAUGAUGGAUGCCGCUUCUUGCCACUCCCCGGGGGCACCACAGAGAGCGGGGAGCCUGCAGAGAGCAGGGACAGCGGCCUUCAACGCACUGUUUCCGGGCAAUGUCACUAAUGCCAAAGUCAUGCCUCCCACUGGACACUCCUGGGCUCCCAUCCUUCCUACCAAGAAACUUUCUCUGUGAAACCCACGAAACAGCUAGAAAUGGAGCCCAAAAGAUAGCCAGGAUAAUAGACGACAGAGAGGAUCAAGGCCCAGCAGGACCUGGCGACUCUAACGCUCUGGCACUAGGGUGUCUAGAAUGGGAAGCCCCCAAGGGGCUGGCGUGGGAUGGGGGUGUGAUGCAGGCCGCCCACCAGGUUCCCUCCGGGCAAAGCGGCAGGGCCCCCCGCUUCCUGAGCCUUCACGGAGGUCUAGUGGUCCCUCUGCCUGAAAACCUGUCUGUUAGUCAGGAGGAGUUCGGAGCAUAUAAUUUUGGGGAGCCAUUUUCUUCUAGGGAGUUCACUUUCCUGUGCGGGGCGGCGGAGGAAGACAACACAUAACUGAACGACAGAUGAAGAUAAAUUAUAAAAGAAAAUUGUUUAAGUGUUUAAUCAGACAAUGAAGAGAAACCCAAAACAAUGAAACCUUUUCAAGGAAGUAAGGUCAAAAAUGUAGAGGUUAAAAGACCCUCCUGAGGAAGCUAAACAAAGUGCAGACAGGUACAAAGCUGAACUCCAUCGGCUCAAAGAAAACAGUGCCCGGUGGAAGAUGCCAGAGCAGUUACAACAGGAAGCUCCAUGCCAGUGGGAGCAGCCCCCUGAGUGAGAACUCCCUGGACUGUCUGUUCUAGAAGCCCUGCCUUACAGAGUGGAUGAUGUGAAAUUGUGAGCAGUUUCAGCUGUAGGCAGCAAAAACUUGGCCCAACACCAGAAAGAGAAGAUAAAACAUCAGAGGAGAGAGAGGACAGAUGUCACCCAGACAAAUUCUUUCUUAACAAGGGUUGAAAAAGGAGGCGGCAAGUUCCCAUGCAGUGUGAGCCAUGGGUGGUGGGCAAGAUCACAACACACUGCACAAGGCAGAGGCAAGAUGUGAGAAUGAAUGCAAGUCCUUGCCGGGAGCCUCCAUGACCCCAUCAGCCACAGGCCAGGGCACUGCAACAGAGGCAGACUGCACAUGGACGUGUGGUGUCUGCAUGGGCUGCAUGGACCCUCACAUGCCCACUCCACAGCUCCAUCACAGGCCUCUGCAAAGACCUCCUCUUGCCCCGCCUUCUCUUAUUAGUUUCCUGGGCUGCUGUAACAAAU
RNAcentral lists this long non-coding RNA (1291 nucleotides) under Pan troglodytes (chimpanzee). RNAcentral's name for it is "long non-coding RNA NONPTRT001716". The record is from RNAcentral. Lineage: Eukaryota; Metazoa; Chordata; Mammalia; Primates; Hominidae.